Molecule: long non-coding RNA, 1587 nt
Organism: Oryctolagus cuniculus (rabbit)
Lineage: Eukaryota; Metazoa; Chordata; Mammalia; Lagomorpha; Leporidae
Source: Ensembl
AUGUGGCAGUCCCUGCCCGCCAGGAGCUGGACUGCAUGUGGGGGGCGGGCCUGCUGUUCCCAGGGGCAGGCCCCACCCAGGUGCCUUCAUCACAGAGCAGUUCACCCCUUUGGGACAACACCUCCCAUCAGGAGAGAAAAAAGACCGGGCAGCCAGGGCAGGGAGGUGGGACCGGGCAAGGUAGGCUUGGCAGUCCCAGCCCUCUUUGCUUCGGGCCCCUCGGUGCCCACCCUGCCCUGGGGUUCCUUGGCCCAUCUCCGAGCAGUCUCUGUGCUGGGAAUUGUCACCUCCAGGCCACAGCGGGGGGCUCCAGGAUCUCUCGACCCCUCUACUUCUUCCCUCCCUCCCUCCUCCCUCCCUCCCACUACAGCUCUGGGGCACCUGCCCGUCCUGGAGUGGAGGGCAGAGCAGCCGCACAGACAGGACCGGCCCACGUGGCGUCUGCGUUCUCCCGGGGGAGGGACAAGUGAGCAAGUCGGUGGUGUCAGAUGGGGACCGCUGCUCCCGUGGGGCCUUAGGAGCCAAGCUCAGGAGCUCGGGGGCACAGCGCCGCCGGCUCUGCCUGCCUCACCCCUCCUCCCUCUCUCUGUCACACCCUCCUGCCUCAGUAGGCCCCACCCUCUGGGACCCCCAUUUGUGCGUGCUGAGGCUGUGGGGCAAAGAGCUGGACUUCAGGGGGUGGCGAGGAAGCAGAGAUCAUGUCCAGGCCGCUCCCGGCGGCAGCUGCAGCCUUCGGCUUCCCGGCCCCACGGGGGCUCCAGGGCCGGUGCCUGUGCCCAGCCGCACGGGGGCUCCAGGGCCGGCGCCUGUGCCCAGUCCCACGGGGGCUCCAAGGACCUCUUAAGGUCUCAGCAUUUUUGCAGCUUACAGAAGAGUUGGGGGGUGAGGGGAGGCACUUCCUCUCCUCUUAGUCCAGGUGCACCAGCUGUUCCCUUACCCCCUGUCCUCUCUCCUCCUCCACCGCCCUCCCAUAUCUUUUCUGAGUUAUUUGACGAUAGUGGGAAGUCAUGUGCUUUUUCAUUUAAAGAAUUUUAUAAAGAUUUAUUUAUUUAUUUGGAAGGCAGAGUGAUGGGGGGGGAGAGACAGAGAGACAUCUUCCAUUCGCUGGUUCAUUCCCCAAAAGGCCACAAUAGCCAGGGCUGGCCAGGAGCUUCUCCAAGUCUCCCACAUGGGUCUAGGGGCCCAAGCACUUGGCCUCAGGCCACUAGCGUGGAGCCUGAUUGGAUGUGCAGCACAGCGGACUUGAACCUGUGUCCAUUUGGGAGGCCAGCAUCACCGGCCCUGGCUUUAUCUGCUAUGCCACAGCGCCAGACCCUCAUGCACUUUUUUUUUUUAAAGGGUUUAUUUUUUGGAAGGCAAAUUGACAGAGAGCAGGAGAGAGGAGUGAUCUUCCACCUGCAGUUCACUCUCCAAAUGCCAGGGUUGGGCCGGGCCCAGGCCAGGAGUCUGGAGCUCGAUCCAGGUCUCCCACCCGGGGGCAGGGACCCAAGCACUUGGCCAUCUUCUGCUGCCUUCCCAGACACAUGGGCAGGGAGCGGAUUGGAAGGGGAGCCCUUGAGACUCAUUGGCUACGGGUUGCUGAUGUGA